CCUACGGGAGGCAGCAGUGAGGAAUAUUGGUCAAUGGACGAGAGUCUGAACCAGCCAAGUAGCGUGAAGGAUGACUGCCCUAUGGGUUGUAAACUUCUUUUAUAUGGGAAUAAAAUGUUCCACGUGUGGGAUUUUGUAUGUACCAUAUGAAUAAGGAUCGGCUAACUCCGUGCCAGCAGCCGCGGUAAUACGGAGGAUCCGAGCGUUAUCCGGAUUUAUUGGGUUUAAAGGGAGCGUAGGUGGAUUGUUAAGUCAGUUGUGAAAGUUUGCGGCUCAACCGUAAAAUUGCAGUUGAAACUGGCAGUCUUGAGUACAGUAGAGGUGGGCGGAAUUCGUGGUGUAGCGGUGAAAUGCUUAGAUAUCACGAAGAACUCCGAUUGCGAAGGCAGUUCACUGGACUGCAACUGACACUGAGGCUCGAACGUGUGGGUAUCAAACAGGAUUAGAUACCCCUGUAGUC
This 460-nucleotide ribosomal RNA is filed under the name uncultured bacterium. RNAcentral's name for it is "partial 16S ribosomal RNA". It matches the Rfam family "Bacterial small subunit ribosomal RNA", at positions 338 to 795 of the family's 1533-position model. The record is from RNAcentral.